CGCGUAGGCGGUUUGGUCAGUUGGAUGUGAAAGCCCAGGGCUUAACCUUGGAAUUGUAUUCAAUACUGCCAGGCUAGAGUACGGUAGAGGGGGGUAGAAUUCCACGUGUAGCGGUGAAAUGCGUAGAGAUGUGGAGGAAUACCAGUGGCGAAGGCGGCCCCCUGGAUCGAUACUGACGCUGAGGUGCGAAAGCGUGGGGAGCAAACA
Molecule: ribosomal RNA, 207 nt
Filed under: uncultured bacterium
Lineage: Bacteria
Description: partial 16S ribosomal RNA
Rfam family: Bacterial small subunit ribosomal RNA
Source: RNAcentral